AGCGGCAAAAGCUCAAAUUUGAAAUCUGGCUCUUUCAGAGUCCGAGUUGUAAUUUGAAGAAGGUAUCUUUGGGUCUGGCUCUUGUCUAUGUUUCUUGGAACAGAACGUCACAGAGGGUGAGAAUCCCGUGCGAUGAGAUGAUCCAGGCCUAUGUAAAGUUCCUUCGAAGAGUCGAGUUGUUUGGGAAUGCAGCUCUAAGUGGGUGGUAAAUUCCAUCUAAAGCUAAAUAUUGGCGAGAGACCGAUAGCGAACAAGUACAGUGAUGGAAAGAUGAAAAGAACUUUGAAAAGAGAGUGAAAAAGUACGUGAAAUUGUUGAAAGGGAAGGGCUUGAGAUCAGACUUGGUAUUUUGUAUGUUACUUCUUCGGGGGUGGCCUCUACAGUUUAUCGGGCCAGCAUCAGUUUGGGCGGUAGGAGAAUUGCGUUGGAAUGUGGCACGGCUUCGGUUGUGUGUUAUAGCCUUCGUCGAUACUGCCAGCCUAGACUGAGGACUGCGG
This 497-nucleotide ribosomal RNA is filed under the name Candida tropicalis. RNAcentral describes it as "eukaryotic LSU rRNA". It matches the Rfam family "Eukaryotic large subunit ribosomal RNA", at positions 97 to 600 of the family's 3401-position model. The record is from RNAcentral. Lineage: Eukaryota; Fungi; Ascomycota; Pichiomycetes; Serinales; Debaryomycetaceae.